CCUACGGGAGGCAGCAGUGGGGAAUAUUGGGCAAUGGAGGCAACUCUGACCCAGCAACGCCGCGUGAAUGAUGAAGGUCUUCGGAUUGUAACGUUCUUUUCUAAGGGACGAAGAAAGUGACGGUACCUUAGGAAUAAGCCUCGGCUAACUACGUGCCAGCAGCCGCGGUAAUACGUAGGAGGCAAGCGUUAUCCGGACUGACUGGUCGUAAAGGGUGCGUAGGUGGUUUGACAAGUUAGUAGCGCAACUCCGGGGCUCAACUUCGGAACUACUACUAAAACUGUUGGACUUGAGUGCAGGAGGGGCAAUCGGAAUUCAUAGUGUAGCGGUGGAAUGCGUAGAUAUUAGGAGGAACACCAGUGGCGAAGGCGGAUUGCUAGACUGUAACUGACACUGAGGCACGAAAGCGUGGGGAGCAAACAGGAUUAGAUACCCUUGUAGUC
RNAcentral lists this ribosomal RNA (443 nucleotides) under uncultured bacterium. RNAcentral describes it as "partial 16S ribosomal RNA". It matches the Rfam family "Bacterial small subunit ribosomal RNA", at positions 338 to 795 of the family's 1533-position model. The record is from RNAcentral.